RNAcentral lists this ribosomal RNA (468 nucleotides) under uncultured bacterium. Its description in RNAcentral is "partial 16S ribosomal RNA". It matches the Rfam family "Bacterial small subunit ribosomal RNA", at positions 28 to 507 of the family's 1533-position model. The record is from RNAcentral.
GAUGAACGCUGGCGGCGUGCUUAACACAUGCAAGUCGAACGGAAAGGCCCUGCUUUUGUGGGGUGCUCGAGUGGCGAACGGGUGAGUAACACGUGAGUAACCUGCCCUUGACUUUGGGAUAACUUCAGGAAACUGGGGCUAAUACCGGAGAGGAUCUCCUGCUGCAUGGUGGUGGUUGGAAAGUUUCGGCUGUUGGGGAUGGACUCGCGGCUUAUCAGCUUGUUGGUGGGGUAGUGGCUUACCAAGGCUUUGACGGGUAGCCGGCCUGAGAGGGUGACCGGCCACAUUGGGACUGAGAUACGGCCCAGACUCCUACGGGAGGCAGCAGUGGGGAAUAUUGCACAAUGGGCGGAAGCCUGAUGCAGCAACGCCGCGUGCGGGAUGACGGCCUUCGGGUUGUAAACCGCUUUCGCCUGUGACGAAGCGUGAGUGACGGUAAUGGGUAAAGAAGCACCGGCUAACUACGUG